This 1797-nucleotide ribosomal RNA is filed under the name Pinus taeda (loblolly pine). Its description in RNAcentral is "SSU rRNA". It matches the Rfam family "Eukaryotic small subunit ribosomal RNA". Lineage: Eukaryota; Viridiplantae; Streptophyta; Pinopsida; Pinales; Pinaceae. The record is from RNAcentral.
CCUGGUUGAUCCCGCUAGUAUUCCUGUGCUUGUCUCAAAUAUUAAGCCAUGCAUGUUUAAGUAUGAAAUAAUUUAGACUAUGAAACUGUGGAUGGAUCAUUAAAUUAGUUAUAUCUUUUUGAUGGUACCAUACUACUUGGAUAACUAUAGUAAUUCUAUAGAUAAUAUGUGGAACAAGUCUCAACUCUUUGGAAGGGAUACAUUUUUUAGAUAAAAUGUUGGUGCAAGCUUGCCUGCUUCUCUGGUGAAUCAUGAUAACUCGACAUAUUGCACAACCUUUAUGUUGGCGAUGCUUCAUUCAAGUUUCUGCCCUAUCAACUUUCAAUGGUAGGAUAGAGGCAUACCAUGGUGGUGAUGGGUGAUGAAGAAUUAGUGGUCGAUUCCGAGGAGAGAGCUUGAGAAACGGCUACCACAUCCAAGGAAGGUAGCAGGCAUGCAAGCUACCCAAUCCUAACAUGGAGAGGUAGUUACAAUAGAUAACAAUAUUGGCCUCAUUGAGUCUAGUAAUUGUAAUGAGUACAAUAUAAAUCCCUUAAUGAGGAUCCAUUGGAGGGCAAGUCUGGUGCUAGUAGCCAUAGUAAUUCCAACUCCAAUAGCAUAUAUUUAAGUUGUUGCAGUUAAAAAGCUCGUAGUUGGAUAUUGGGUCGUAAAGGUCGGUCCGCCUACUCGGUGUGCACUUUCCCUUUCAUUAAUUUUGUUGACGGCAUGCUCUUGGCCUUAAUUGGUGGGGUUGUGGCUUUGGCACUAUUACUUUGAAAAAAUUAGAGUGCUCAAAGCAAGUUUAUGCUCUGAAAACAUUAGCAUGGAAUAAUGUGAUAUUAGUCUAGUCCUAUUAUGUUGGACUUUGGGACCAAAUUAAUGAUUAAUAGGGAUUGUCGGGGGAAUUUAUAUUUCAUUUUCAAAGGUGAAAUUCUUGGAUUUAUGAAAGACAGAUAACUGUGAAAUCAUUUUCCAAGGAUGUUUUCAUUAAUCAAGAACGAAAGUUGGGGACUUGAAGACAAUCAGAUACCAUCCUAGUCUCAACCAUAAACAAUGCUGACCAAGGAUUGGUGGAUGUUGCUCUAAGGGCUCCACCAGAACCUUCUGAGAAACCAGAGUGUUUGGGUUCUGGGGGGAGUAUGGUCGCAAGGUUGAAACUUAAAAGAAUUGAUGGAAGGGCACCACAAGGAGUGGAGCCUGCAACUUUAUUUGACUCAACGCGGGGAAACUUACCAGUUCUAGACAUAGUGAGGAUUAACAAAUUGAGAGCUCUUUCUUGAUUCUAUGGGUGGUAGUGCAUGGUUGUUCUUAGUUGGUGGAGCGAUUUGUCUGGCUAAUUCCGAUAACGAAUGAAACCUCAGCUUGCUAACUAGCUAUGUGGAGGUUCCCCUUCACAGCCAACUUCUUAGAGGGACCAUGGCCAUUUAGAAUAUGGAAUUUUGAGCAAAUAAUAGGUCUGUGAUUCCCUUAGAUGUUCUUGGUUGUACAAACAUGACACUGAUGCAGCCAAAAAAAUUUUCUUCCUUGUUCAAGGGGAUCAGGAAAUCUUCUCAAAUUUCACCAUGAUGGGGAUGGACCAUUUCAAUUAUUGGUCUUCAACUAGGAAUUCCUAGUAAGCACGUGCCAUCAACUAGUGUUGACUACAUACCUUCCCUUUGUACACACUGCCCAUCACUCCUACUGAAUGAUCAGUGAAGUGUUCGAAUUGCGUCGAUGAUGGAGGUUUGUUGUCGUUGACAUCGUGAGAAGUUCAUUGAAACUUACCAUUUCGAGGAAGGAGAAGUCAUAAUAAGGUUACUAUAGGUGAACCUAGAGUCA